This 466-nucleotide ribosomal RNA is filed under the name uncultured bacterium. RNAcentral describes it as "partial 16S ribosomal RNA". It matches the Rfam family "Bacterial small subunit ribosomal RNA", at positions 28 to 507 of the family's 1533-position model. The record is from RNAcentral.
GACGAACGCUGGCGGCGUGCUUAACACAUGCAAGUCGAACGGAAAGGCCCUGCUUUUGUGGGGUGCUCGAGUGGCGAACGGGUGAGUAACACGCGAGUAACCUGCCCUUGACUUUGGGAUAACUUCAGGAAACUGGGGCUAAUACCGGAUAGGAGCUCCUGCUGCAUGGUGGGGGUUGGAAAGUUUCGGCGGUGGGGGAUGGACUCGCGGCUUAUCAGCUUGUUGGUGGGGUAGUGGCUUACCAAGGCUUGGACGGGGAGCCGGCCUGAGGGUGACCGGCCACAUUGGGCCUGAGAUACGGCCCAGACUCCUACGGGAGGCAGCAGUGGGGAAUAUUGCACAAUGGGCGGAAGCCUGAUGCAGCAACGCCGCGUGCGGGAUGACGGCCUUCGGGUUGUAAACCGCUUUCGCCUGUGACGAAGCGUGAGUGACGGUAAUGGGUAAAGAAGCACCGGCUAACUACGUG